GACGAACGCUGGCGGCGUGCUUAACACAUGCAAGUCGAACGGAAAGGCCCUGCUUUUGUGGGGUGCUCGAGUGGCGAACGGGUGAGUAACACGUGAGUAACCUGCCCUUGACUUUGGGAUAACUUCAGGAAACUGGGGCUAAUACCGGAUAGGAGCUCCUGCUGCAUGGUGGGGGUUGGAAAGUUUCGGCGGUUGGGGAUGGACUCGCGGCUUAUCAGCUUGUUGGUGGGGUAGUGGCUUACCAAGGCUUUGACGGGUAGCCGGCCUGAGAGGGUGACCGGCCACAUUGGGACUGAGAUACGGCCCAGACUCCUACGGGAGGCAGCAGUGGGGAAUAUUGCACAAUGGGCGGAAGCCUGAUGCAGCAACGCCGCGUGCGGGAUGACGGCCUUCGGGUUGUAAACCGCUUUCGCCUGUGACGAAGCGUGAGUGACGGUAAUGGGUAAAGAAGCACCGGCUAACUACGUGCCAGCAGCCGCGGUGAUACGUAGGGUGCGAGCGUUGUCCGGAUUUAUUGGGCGUAAAGGGCUCGCAGGUGGUUGAUCGCGUCGGAAGUGUAAUCUUGGGGCUUAACCCUGAGCGUGCUUUCGAUACGGGUUGACUUGAGGAAGGUAGGGGAGAAUGGAAUUCCUGGUGGAGCGGUGGAAUGCGCAGAUAUCAGGAGGAACACCAGUGGCGAAGGCGGUUCUCUGGGCCUUUCCUGACGCUGAGGAGCGAAAGCGUGGGGAGCGAACAGGCUUAGAUACCCUGGUAGUCCACGCUGUAAACGGUGGGUACUAGGUGUGGGGUCCAUUCCACGGGUUCCGUGCCGUAGCUAACGCUUUAAGUACCCCGCCUGGGGAGUACGGCCGCAAGGCUAAAACUCAAAGGAAUUGACGGGGCCCCGCACAAGCGGCGGAGCAUGCGGAUUAAUUCGAUGCAACGCGUAGAACCUUACCUGGGUUUGACAUGGAUCGGGAGUGCUCAGAGAUGGGUGUGCCUCUUUUGGGGUCGGUUCACAGGUGGUGCAUGGCUGUCGUCAGCUCGUGUCGUGAGAUGUUGGGUUAAGUCCCGCAACGAGCGCAACCCUUGUUCACUGUUGCCAGCACGUUAUGGUGGGGACUCAGUGGAGACCGCCGGGGUCAACUCGGAGGAAGGUGGGGAUGACGUCAAGUCAUCAUGCCCCUUAUGUCCAGGGCUUCACGCAUGCUACAAUGGCUGGUACAGAGAGUGGCGAGCCUGUGAGGGUGAGCGAGUCUCGGAAAGCCGGUCUCAGUUCGGAUUGGGGUCUGCAACUCGACCUCAUGAAGUCGGAGUCGCUAGUAAUCGCAGAUCAGCAACGCUGCGGUGAAUACGUUCCCGGG
Molecule: ribosomal RNA, 1343 nt
Filed under: uncultured bacterium
Lineage: Bacteria
Description: 16S ribosomal RNA
Rfam family: Bacterial small subunit ribosomal RNA
Source: RNAcentral